GAGUGGCGGACGGGUGAGUAACACGUGGGUAACCUGCCCAGAAGCAGGGGAUAACACCUGGAAACAGAUGCUAAUACCGUAUAACAGAGAAAACCGCCUGGUUUUCUUUUAAAAGAUGGCUCUGCUAUCACUUCUGGAUGGACCCGCGGCGCAUUAGCUAGUUGGUGAGGUAACGGCUCACCAAGGCGAUGAUGCGUAGCCGACCUGAGAGGGUAAUCGGCCACAUUGGGACUGAGACACGGCCCAGACUCCUACGGGAGGCAGCAGUAGGGAAUCUUCCACAAUGGACGCAAGUCUGAUGGAGCAACGCCGCGUGAGUGAAGAAGGGUUUCGGCUCGUAAAGCUCUGUUGUUAAAGAAGAACGUGGGUGAGAGUAACUGUUCACCCAGUGACGGUAUUUAACCAGAAAGCCACGGCUAACUACGUGCCAGCAGCCGCGGUAAUACGUAGGUGGCAAGCGUUAUCCGGAUUUAUUGGGCGUAAAGCGAGCGCAGGCGGUCUUUUAAGUCUAAUGUGAAAGCCUUCGGCUCAACCGAAGAAGUGCAUUGGAAACUGGGAGACUUGAGUGCAGAAGAGGACAGUGGAACUCCAUGUGUAGCGGUGAAAUGCGUAGAUAUAUGGAAGAACACCAGUGGCGAAGGCGGCUGUCUGGUCUGUAACUGACGCUGAGGCUCGAAAGCAUGGGUAGCGAACAGGAUUAGAUACCCUGGUAGUCCAUGCCGUAAACGAUGAUUACUAAGUGUUGGAGGGUUUCCGCCCUUCAGUGCUGCAGCUAACGCAUUAAGUAAUCCGCCUGGGGAGUACGACCGCAAGGUUGAAACUCAAAAGAAUUGACGGGGGCCCGCACAAGCGGUGGAGCAUGUGGUUUAAUUCGAAGCUACGCGAAGAACCUUACCAGGUCUUGACAUCUUCUGCCAACCUAAGAGAUUAGGCGUUCCCUUCGGGGACAGAAUGACAGGUGGUGCAUGGUUGUCGUCAGCUCGUGUCGUGAGAUGUUGGGUUAAGUCCCGCAACGAGCGCAACCCUUAUUACUAGUUGCCAGCAUUCAGUUGGGCACUCUAGUGAGACUGCCGGUGACAAACCGGAGGAAGGUGGGGACGACGUCAAAUCAUCAUGCCCCUUAUGACCUGGGCUACACACGUGCUACAAUGGAUGGUACAACGAGUUGCGAAACCGCGAGGUUUAGCUAAUCUCUUAAAACCAUUCUCAGUUCGGACUGUAGGCUGCAACUCGCCUACACGAAGUCGGAAUCGCUAGUAAUCGCGGAUCAGCAUGCCGCGGUGAAUACGUUCCCGGGCCUUGUACACACCGCCCGUCACACCAUGAGAGUUUGUAACACCCAAAGCCGGUGGGGUAACCUUU
This 1362-nucleotide ribosomal RNA is filed under the name Pediococcus acidilactici. Its description in RNAcentral is "16S ribosomal RNA". It matches the Rfam family "Bacterial small subunit ribosomal RNA", at positions 93 to 1443 of the family's 1533-position model. The record is from RNAcentral. Lineage: Bacteria; Bacillati; Bacillota; Bacilli; Lactobacillales; Lactobacillaceae.